This 230-nucleotide long non-coding RNA is filed under the name Mytilus galloprovincialis (Mediterranean mussel). The record is from RNAcentral. Lineage: Eukaryota; Metazoa; Mollusca; Bivalvia; Mytilida; Mytilidae.
CAAUUGAUUGAUUGUUGGUUGCUUUACGUCCAGUGGCAAAUAUUACAAAGUAACCAAACCACUACAUAUAUAGUAACAAAUUCCACUAUACAAAGUAACAAAACCACUACAUAGUAACAAAUUCCACUAUACAAAGUAACAAAACCACUACAUAGUAACAAAUUCCACUAUACAAAGUAACAAAACCACUACAUAGUAACAAAUUCCACUAUACAAAGACACAAAACCAC